This 482-nucleotide ribosomal RNA is filed under the name Serratia sp. (in: enterobacteria). Its description in RNAcentral is "bacterial SSU rRNA". It matches the Rfam family "Bacterial small subunit ribosomal RNA", at positions 38 to 500 of the family's 1533-position model. The record is from RNAcentral. Lineage: Bacteria; Pseudomonadati; Pseudomonadota; Gammaproteobacteria; Enterobacterales; Yersiniaceae.
GGGUUCCGCGGUUGCAGGCUUAACACAUGCAGUCGAGCGGUAGCACAGGGGAGCUUGCUCCCCGGGUGACGAGCGGCGGACGGGUGAGUAAUGUCUGGGAAACUGCCUGAUGGAGGGGGAUAACUACUGGAAACGGUAGCUAAUACCGCAUAACGUCGCAAGACCAAAGAGGGGGACCUUCGGGCCUCUUGCCAUCAGAUGUGCCCAGAUGGGAUUAGCUAGUAGGUGGGGUAAUGGCUCACCUAGGCGACGAUCCCUAGCUGGUCUGAGAGGAUGACCAGCCACACUGGAACUGAGACACGGUCCAGACUCCUACGGGAGGCAGCAGUGGGGAAUAUUGCACAAUGGGCGCAAGCCUGAUGCAGCCAUGCCGCGUGUGUGAAGAAGGCCUUCGGGUUGUAAAGCACUUUCAGCGAGGAGGAAGGGGGUGAGCUUAAUACCCUCAUUAAAUUGACGUUACUUCCAGAAGAAGCACCGGCUAA